Molecule: transfer RNA, 68 nt
Filed under: Proechimys gardneri
Lineage: Eukaryota; Metazoa; Chordata; Mammalia; Rodentia; Echimyidae
Description: tRNA-Gly
Source: RNAcentral
AUCUUCUUAGUAUAACCAGUACAACUGACUUCCAAUCAGCAAGAUCCGAAUAACAACGGAAGAAGAUA